RNAcentral lists this ribosomal RNA (666 nucleotides) under uncultured bacterium. RNAcentral describes it as "bacterial SSU rRNA". It matches the Rfam family "Bacterial small subunit ribosomal RNA", at positions 8 to 688 of the family's 1533-position model. The record is from RNAcentral.
AGAGUUUGAUCCUGGCUCAGAAUCAACGCUGGCGGCGUGCCUCAGACAUGCAAGUCGAACGAUUAAAGCUCCCUUCGGGGAGUGCAUAAAGUGGCGCACGGGUGAGUAACACGUAAGUAAUCUACCCUCGGGUGGGGAAUAACGUUCGGAAACGAACGCUAAUACCGCAUAAUGCAGCGGCACCGCAAGGUGACAGUUGUUAAAGAUUUAUUGCCUGGGGAGGAGCUUGCGGCAGAUUAGCUUGUUGGUAAGGUAACGGCUUACCAAGGCUACGAUCUGUAUCCGGUCUAAGAGGACGGUCGGACACACUGACACUGAAUAACGGGUCAGACUCCUACGGGAGGCAGCAGUCGGGAAUUUUGGGCAAUGGGGGAAACCCUGACCCAGCAACGCCGCGUGAAGGAUGAAGUAUUUCGGUAUGUAAACUUCGAAAGAAUAGGAAGAAUUAAUGACGGUACUAUUUAUAAGGUCCGGCUAACUACGUGCCAGCAGCCGCGGUAAUACGUAGGGACCAAGCGUUGUUCGGAUUUACUGGGCGUAAAGGGCGCGUAGGCGGCGCGGUAAGUCACUUGUGAAAUCUCUGAGCUUAACUCAGAACGGCCAAGUGAUACUGCAGUGCUAGAGUGUGGAAGGGGCAAUCGGAAUUCUUGGUGUAGCGGUGAAAUG